UAUUAGAAAGAAUACCAAUUGCGAAGGCAGCUUUCUGGAUCAUUACUGACACUGAGGAACGAAAGCAUGGGUAGCGAAGAGGAUUAGAUACCCUCGUAGUCCAUGCCGUAAACGAUGUGUGUUAGACGUUGGAAAUUUAUUUUCAGUGUCGCAGCGAAAGCGAUAAACACACCGCCUGGGGAGUACGACCGCAAGGUUAAAACUCAAAUGAAUUGACGGGGACCCGCACAAGUAGUGGAGCAUGUGGUUUAAUUCGAAGAUACGCGCAGAACCUUACCAACACUUGACAUGUUCGUCGCGACUUUAAGAGAUUAAAGUUUUCGGUUCGGCCGGACGAAACACAGGUGCUGCAUGGCUGUCGUCAGCUCGUGUCGUGAGAUGUUGGGUUAAGUCCCGCAACGAGCGUAACCCUCACUUUUAGUUGCCAUCAUUAAGUUGGGCACUCUGAAAGAACUGCCAGUGAUAAGCUGGAGGAAGGUGGGGAUGACGUCAAGUCCUCAUGGCCCUUACGUGUUGGGCUACACACGUGCUACAAUGGUAUCUACAACAGGAAGCAAGACGGCGACGUUUAGCAAAUCCUUAAAAGAUACCUCAGUUCGGAUUGCACUCUGCAACUCGAGUGCAUGAAGCUGGAAUUACUAGUAAUCGUGGAUCAGCGUGCCACGGUGAAUGCGUUCCCGGGCCUUGUACACUCCGCCCA
RNAcentral lists this ribosomal RNA (700 nucleotides) under uncultured bacterium. Its description in RNAcentral is "bacterial SSU rRNA". It matches the Rfam family "Bacterial small subunit ribosomal RNA", at positions 695 to 1396 of the family's 1533-position model. The record is from RNAcentral.